AGCAGCCGCGGUAAUUCCAGCUCCAAUAGCGUAUAUUAAAGUUGUUGCAGUUAAAAAGCUCGUAGUUGAAUUUCGGGAUUGACGUGAUGGUCGUGCCUUACGGGGUAUGAACUGUUGCUGUUGAUUUCUCACCUUCUGGAGAAACUUGAUGUCCUUAAUUGGGUGUCUUGCGGAUCCAGGACCUUUACCUUGAAAAAAUUUAGAGUGUUUAAAGCAGGCAUUUUGCUCGAAUACAUUAGCAUGGAAUAAUAGAAUAGGACGGCAUGGUUCUAUUUUGUUGGUUUCUAGGAUCACCGUAAUGAUUAAUAGGGAUAGUUGGGGGGCAUUAGUAUUCAAUUGUCAGAGGUGAAAUUCUUGGAUUUAUUGAAGGCUAACUACUGCGAAAGCAUUUGCCAAGGAUGUUUUCAUUAAUCAAGAACGAAAGUUAGGGGGAUCGAAGACGAUCAGAUACCGUCGUAGUCUUAACCAUAAACUAUGCCGACUAGGAAUCAGACGAUGUUAAUUUUUUAAUGACUCGUUU
Molecule: unclassified non-coding RNA, 520 nt
Filed under: uncultured Entrophospora
Lineage: Eukaryota; Fungi; Glomeromycota; Glomeromycetes; Entrophosporales; Entrophosporaceae
Description: SSU rRNA
Rfam family: Eukaryotic small subunit ribosomal RNA
Source: RNAcentral